ACCUGACUGCUAUCGGAUUGGUACUAAGCCAUGCGAGUCAUUGUAGCAAUACAAGGCGGACGGCUCAGUAACACGUAGUCAACCUAACUCGUGGACGUGGAUAACCUCGGGAAACUGAGAAUAAACCACGAUAGAUCAUAGUGCCUGGAAUGGCUUAUGGUCCAAACAGUUUACUGCCAUGGGAUGGGACUGCGGCCUAUCAGCUUGUUGGUGAGGUAAUGGCCCACCAAGGCGAUUACAGGUACGGGCUCUGAAAGGAGAAGCCCGGAGAUGGGUACUGAGACACGGACCCAGGCCCUAUGGGGCGCAGCAGGCGAGAAACCUUAGCAAUGUGCGAAAGCACGACUGGGUCAGUCCGAGUGAUUCCUGAUAAAGGAGUCUUUUGCCUGUCCUAAAAGCACAGGUGAAUAAGGGGUGGGCAAGUCUGGUGUCAGCCGCCGCGGUAAUACCAGCACCUCGAGUGGUCAGGACGUUUAUUGGGCCUAAAGCAUCCGUAGCCGGCUCUGCAAGUCUUCGGUUAAAUCCACCUGCUCAACAGAUGGGCCGCUGGAGAUACUACAGAGCUAGGGAGUGGGAGAGGCAGAUGGUAUUCAGUGGGUAGGGGUAAAAUCCUCUGAUCCAUUGAGGACCACCAGUGGCGAAGGCGGUCUGCCAGAACACGUUCGACGGUGAGGGAUGAAAGCUGGGGGAGCAAACCGGAUUAGAUACCCGGGUAGUCCCAGCUGUAAACGAUGCAAACUCGGUGAUGCAUUGGCUUAUGGCCAAUGCAGUGCCGCAGGAAGCCGUUAAGUUUGCCGCCUGGGAAGUACGGACGCAGUCUGAAACUUAA
Molecule: ribosomal RNA, 829 nt
Filed under: uncultured soil archaeon
Lineage: Archaea
Description: bacterial SSU rRNA
Rfam family: Archaeal small subunit ribosomal RNA
Source: RNAcentral